RNAcentral lists this small nuclear RNA (107 nucleotides) under Catagonus wagneri (Chacoan peccary). The record is from RNAcentral. Lineage: Eukaryota; Metazoa; Chordata; Mammalia; Artiodactyla; Tayassuidae.
GUGCUUGCUUUGGUAGCACAUGUACUAAAAUUAGAAUGACGCAGAGAAGACUAGGAUGGCCCCCACGUAAGAAUGACACCCAAAUUCGUGAAGUGUUCCCUAAUUUU